RNAcentral lists this microRNA precursor (99 nucleotides) under Caenorhabditis japonica. RNAcentral describes it as "pre miRNA CJA48974". The record is from RNAcentral. Lineage: Eukaryota; Metazoa; Nematoda; Chromadorea; Rhabditida; Rhabditidae.
UUUUGUGCCCAGAAUUAGACACUGGCUGGUAUCCGCGAUGGUGUUACACUACUGUAAUGUAUCACCGGGUGGAAACUUGCAAGUGUCUCCAACUGGAUU